UGGGCUGGGCGGCCGGCGGCGCUGGCCCGGCGGCGGCGGCAGCGGGGUCCGGGUCCGGAGCGCCACAUCUGUGGUCCGAAGACAACCCUAUGAGGCAUCAGUAGGGUUUUACAGGUGGCGUAGUGGAGGCCUAACGAAGUCAGCUGAGACGGUUUAAGCGGAAGCAUCUUACUGCCAUCGACUGCCAGCAUUUGGCUCGGAGUCACUUGGCUGUGACCCAGCCCUUCGGUCAAAGAUGGACAAACAGAGAUCCGAACCAUGGUCUCUAUCCUAAACCCAGAACAAAAAGAGGGAGUAGGGGUCAGGGACGUCAAAGAUGCAUCCCUGAGUUCUUCCUAGCAGGCAAGUGGCCGUGCACCAAUGACAUGGCCAAAAGCAAUUCUGUUGGCCAGGACAGCUGUCAGGACUCUGAUGGUGACAUGAUCUUUCCUGCAGAGAGCAGCUGUGCACUGCCUCAGGAAGGCAGUGGAGAAGCAUGGCUGGGCUCAUCAGGGUCUGCCCCGCCCUCCAGGAAGCGGUCUCGGUCCUCUGAGGAAGAGAGUAACCAGGCUACCGGGACCAGCCAGUGGGAUGGAGUUUCUAAGAAAGCUCUGCGGCACCAUUUGUCUGUGCCAUGCACAAGGCCUAGGGAGGCCAGGCAAGAAGCAGAGGACAGUAUGUCUCGGCUCUCUGCAGAGUCUGGAGAAACCGACCAAGAUGCUGGGGACAUGGGUCCUGAUCUCGUUCCUGACUCAUACUAUGGGCUUCUUGGGACCUUGCCCUGCCAGGAAGCACCGAGCCACAUUUGCAGCCUGCCUAGUGAGGUCCUGAGGCACGUGUUUGCCUUCCUCCCGGUGGAAGACCUCUAUUGGAACCUGAGCUUGGUGUGCCACCUGUGGAGGGAGAUCAUCA
This 891-nucleotide small RNA is filed under the name Pongo abelii (Sumatran orangutan). RNAcentral describes it as "processed transcript". The record is from RNAcentral. Lineage: Eukaryota; Metazoa; Chordata; Mammalia; Primates; Hominidae.